GAUGAACGCUGGCGGCGUGCUUAACACAUGCAAGUCGAACGAAGCACUUUAUUUGAUUUCCUUCGGGACUGAUUAUUUUGUGACUGAGUGGCGGACGGGUGAGUAACGCGUGGGUAACCUGCCUUGUACAGGGGGAUAACAGUUGGAAACGGCUGCUAAUACCGCAUAAGCGCCCAGCAUCGCAUGAUGCAGUGUGAAAAACUCCGGUGGUAUAAGAUGGACCCGCGUUGGAUUAGCUAGUUGGUGAGGUAACGGCCCACCAAGGCGACGAUCCAUAGCCGACAUGAGAGGGUGACCGGCCACAUUGGGACUGAGACACGGCCCAAACUCCUACGGGAGGCAGCAGUGGGGAAUAUUGCACAAUGGGCGAAAGCCUGAUGCAGCGACGCCGCGUGAGCGAAGAAGUAUUUCGGUAUGUAAAGCUCUAUCAGCAGGGAAGAUAAUGACGGUACCUGACUAAGAAGCACCGGCUAAAUACGUG
Molecule: ribosomal RNA, 481 nt
Filed under: uncultured bacterium
Lineage: Bacteria
Description: partial 16S ribosomal RNA
Rfam family: Bacterial small subunit ribosomal RNA
Source: RNAcentral